Molecule: transfer RNA, 77 nt
Filed under: Acidimicrobiaceae bacterium
Lineage: Bacteria; Bacillati; Actinomycetota; Acidimicrobiia; Acidimicrobiales; Acidimicrobiaceae
Also listed under: 1 other name
Description: tRNA-Met
Rfam family: tRNA
About the family: Transfer RNA (tRNA) molecules are approximately 80 nucleotides in length. Their secondary structure includes four short double-helical elements and three loops (D, anti-codon, and T loops). Further hydrogen bonds mediate the characteristic L-shaped molecular structure. tRNAs have two regions of fundamental functional importance: the anti-codon, which is responsible for specific mRNA codon recognition, and the 3' end, to which the tRNAs corresponding amino acid is attached (by aminoacyl-tRNA synthetases). tRNAs cope with the degeneracy of the genetic code in two manners: having more than one tRNA (with a specific anti-codon) for a particular amino acid; and 'wobble' base-pairing, i.e. permitting non-standard base-pairing at the 3rd anti-codon position.
Source: RNAcentral
CGCGGGGUGGAGCAGUUUGGUAGCUCGUCGGGCUCAUAACCCGAAGGUCGUUGGUUCAAAUCCAACCCCCGCCACUA